Molecule: ribosomal RNA, 429 nt
Filed under: Triticum aestivum (bread wheat)
Lineage: Eukaryota; Viridiplantae; Streptophyta; Magnoliopsida; Poales; Poaceae
Description: partial small subunit ribosomal RNA
Source: RNAcentral
AUGGCCCCCAAGGCGGAGAAGAAGCCGGCGGCCGCGGAGAAGACCCCUGCGGCGGAGAAGACCACGGCGGGGAAGAAGCCCAAGGCCGAGAAGCGGCCGCCGAAGUCCAAGGAGGGCGGCGCCGACAAGAAGAAGAAGAAGGCCAAGAAGAGCGUGGAGACGUACAAGAUCUACAUCUUCAAGGUGCUGAAGCAGGUGCACCCGGACAUCGGCAUCUCCUCCAAGGCCAUGUCCAUCAUGAACUCCUUCAUCAACGACAUCUUCGAGAAGCUCGCCGGCGAGUCCGCCAAGCUGGCCCGCUACAACAAGAAGCCCACCAUCACGUCCAGGGAGAUGCAGACCUCCGUCCGCCUCGUCCUCCCCGGCGAGCUCGCCAAGCACGCCGUCUCCGAGGGCACCAAGGCCGUCACCAAGUUCACCUCCUCUUAG